RNAcentral lists this ribosomal RNA (926 nucleotides) under uncultured bacterium. RNAcentral describes it as "bacterial SSU rRNA". It matches the Rfam family "Bacterial small subunit ribosomal RNA", at positions 579 to 1502 of the family's 1533-position model. The record is from RNAcentral.
UUGUUUAAGUCAGAUGUGAAAGCCCGGGGGUUCAACCUUUGGAAUUGCAUUUGAAACUGGCAAACUAGAGUACUGUAGAGGGGGGUAGAAUUUUCAGGUGUAGCGGUGAAAUGCGUAGAGAUCUGAAGGAAUACCGGUGGCGAAGGCGGCCCCCUGGACAGAUACUGACACUCAGAUGCGAAAGCGUGGGGAGCAAACAGGAUUAGAUACCCUGGUAGUCCACGCCGUAAACGAUGUCUACUUGGAGGUUGUGGCCUUGAGCCGUGGCUUUCGGAGCUAACGCGUUAAGUAGACCGCCUGGGGAGUACGGUCGCAAGAUUAAAACUCAAAUGAAUUGACGGGGGCCCGCACAAGCGGUGGAGCAUGUGGUUUAAUUCGAUGCAACGCGAAGAACCUUACCUACUCUUGACAUCUACAGAAGCCAGCGGAGACGCAGGUGUGCCUUCGGGAACUGUAAGACAGGUGCUGCAUGGCUGUCGUCAGCUCGUGUUGUGAAAUGUUGGGUUAAGUCCCGCAACGAGCGCAACCCUUAUCCUUGUUUGCCAGCACUUCGGGUGGGAACUCCAGGGAGACUGCCGGUGAUAAACCGGAGGAAGGUGGGGACGACGUCAAGUCAUCAUGGCCCUUACGAGUAGGGCUACACACGUGCUACAAUGGCGCAUACAGAGGGCGGCCAACUUGCGAAAGUGAGCGAAUCCCAAAAAGUGCGUCGUAGUCCGGAUUGGAGUCUGCAACUCGACUCCAUGAAGUCGGAAUCGUUAGUAAUCGUGGAUCAGAAUGCCACGGUGAAUACGUUCCCGGGCCUUGUACACACCGCCCGUCACACCAUGGGAGUGGGCUGCAAAAGAAGUGGGUAGUUUAACCUUCGGGAGGACGCUCACCACUUUGUGGUUCAUGACUGGGGUGAAGUCGUAACAAGGUAACCG